GGGGACCCGAGGUCCGUGGAGCCAAACGGGAUCGGGGGGCGGGGACCUGGUUCUGCCGGGCCGUGUCUGGGAUAGGGUGUGGAGAAGAUUCUGGGUUCUGGGACGGGGACGGAGAAGAGAACAGGGGCUCUUCCGCGAGGAUGCGUAUUUGGGACCAGAAGAGCGUCGGCAGCACGCGGUCCUCGCUAGGACCAUGGUCCGCGCCAAAGCCUCUAGUGUGAGGCCAGCGGGGAGCUGCACGUGGGCCUGAAACCAGGGCGAGUAGGCUGUCGAAACUCAAAGGGACCCCGGAAUGGGGUGAUGUCAGUCACCACCACACUGGAGCUAAACUCAAUAAAUUCAGUAAACACCAAGGAAUAUAAAAUAUCACCCCAAAUUUCAUCACCCUGAAAUAACUAUUACUGCCAUUAAGAACUCCACUACAGACAUUUUUCCUGACAACUACUGAAGUAUUUACAAGUGAAGUGAUUAUGUUGGGGAUUUGCUUUUUAAAAUUUCACAAGGAAAAAAAUGAGUGAGCAUGGAAAUGGAUUUGUCAAGCAAAUGACACCUGUUACCUCCUCCAGGGGAGGAGUCCUACUGCAUGGAGGAUAGUAAAUAGCUGAAGAAUGCCUGCCACCAAGAGCAGCAAUCCCAGAAUGUCUACUCCUUGGUUUGUAGAUGCCAGGGUUGCCAAGAGAGACACAACUCACGUAGGCACUGGAUGGAACAACACUUUACUCACAUAGGGAAGAAACAGCAAGAUCAGCUUCAGUAGUGGGCAUUGGUCCCCCAUGGCUUAAGAAGAGUUUAAACGCAAAUGAGAAAUCAAGAAAGACUGAAGAAUCUGGGUUUUUUUCCUGAUUAUAAAAUAUUUAAAAUGUAUAUCAAAGUGCAGAGAAUAACAUUUUUAAAAACCCAUAUACUCAUCCCUCCAAAUCUAUCUAAUCCUAAUAUUUUGCUAUAUUUGCUUCCAAUUUUUGAAGGAAAUAGAUAAUAGUGGAGGCUCUCUUUUAUUCCACAUCUCUUUCCUCUUCCUGGUGCCCACAGAAUUGCUUAUCCUUGAAGCUCAAUAUCUCAGUCAGGUUAUAUCACAGUAUUGAUCCAUCAAGUGUCAUUUUUCCUGGUACAUGGUAUAUCCUUUCUUUUGUAGAUUGUUUUCCUUCUUUCGGGCAAUUUUCUUUUUUUUUUUUUUGAGUUUGCAGAUGAUUUACUUUUUUUUUUUUUAAGAUUUUUUAUUUUUUUCCUUGUUCUCCCCAAAGCCCCCCAGUACAUAGUUGUAUAUUCUUCGUUGUGGGUCCUUCUGGUUGUGGCAUGUGGGACGCUGCCUCAGCGUGGUUUGAUGAGCAGUGCCAUGUCAGCACCCAGGAUUUGAACCAACGAAAACACUGGGCCGCCUGCAGCGGAGCACGUGAACUUAACCACUCGGCCAUGGGGCCAGCCCCUACUUUUUUUUUAAUUGAAGUCAAAUUGUUUCAGGUGUACAGCAUUAUAAUUUGAUAUUUGUAUACACUACACAGUGAUCACUGUCAAAAGUCUAGUUACCAUCCAUCACCAUACAGUUGACCCCCUUCACCCAUUUCACCCACUCCCCAACCCCCUUUUCCUCUGGUAACCACCAAUCUGUUCUCUAUAUCUAUAAAUUUGUUUUUGUUUUGUUUUGUUUGUUCAUUUGUUUUUUUUUUUACAAUCCACAUAUAAGUGAAUUCGUAUGAUAUUUGUCUGUGUCUGACAUUUCACUUAGCAUAAUACACUCAUUGUUGCAAAUGGCAA
Equus caballus (horse) is the source of this 1752-nucleotide long non-coding RNA. NCBI's taxonomy places the organism in Eukaryota, Metazoa, Chordata, Mammalia, Perissodactyla, Equidae. The record is from Ensembl.